Molecule: ribosomal RNA, 506 nt
Filed under: Salmonella enterica
Lineage: Bacteria; Pseudomonadati; Pseudomonadota; Gammaproteobacteria; Enterobacterales; Enterobacteriaceae
Description: bacterial SSU rRNA
Rfam family: Bacterial small subunit ribosomal RNA
Source: RNAcentral
AAAUUGAAGAGUUUGAUCAUGGCUCAGAUUGAACGCUGGCGGCAGGCCUAACACAUGCAAGUCGAACGGUAACAGGAAGCAGCUUGCUGCUUCGCUGACGAGUGGCGGACGGGUGAGUAAUGUCUGGGAAACUGCCUGAUGGAGGGGGAUAACUACUGGAAACGGUGGCUAAUACCGCAUAACGUCGCAAGACCAAAGAGGGGGACCUUCGGGCCUCUUGCCAUCAGAUGUGCCCAGAUGGGAUUAGCUUGUUGGUGAGGUAACGGCUCACCAAGGCGACGAUCCCUAGCUGGUCUGAGAGGAUGACCAGCCACACUGGAACUGAGACACGGUCCAGACUCCUACGGGAGGCAGCAGUGGGGAAUAUUGCACAAUGGGCGCAAGCCUGAUGCAGCCAUGCCGCGUGUAUGAAGAAGGCCUUCGGGUUGUAAAGUACUUUCAGCGGGGAGGAAGGUGUUGUGGUUAAUAACCACAGCAAUUGACGUUACCCGCAGAAGAAGCACCGG